This 434-nucleotide ribosomal RNA is filed under the name uncultured bacterium. Its description in RNAcentral is "partial 16S ribosomal RNA". It matches the Rfam family "Bacterial small subunit ribosomal RNA", at positions 29 to 507 of the family's 1533-position model. The record is from RNAcentral.
AGCGAACGCUGGCGGCAGGCCUAACACAUGCCAGUCGAACGAACCUUUCGGGGUUAGUGGCGGACGGGUGAGUAACACGUGGGAACGUGCCUUUAGGUUCGGAAUAACUCAGGGAAACUUGUGCUAAUACCGAAUGUGCCCUUCGGGGGAAAGAUUUAUCGCCUUUAGAGCGGCCCGCGUCUGAUUAGCUAGUUGGUUGAGGUAAUGGCUCACCAAGGCGACGAUCAGUAGCUGGUCUGAGAGGAUGAUCAGCCACAUUGGGACUGAGACACGGCCCAAACUCCUACGGGAGGCAGCAGUGGGGAAUCUUGCGCAAUGGGCGAAAGCCUGACGCAGCCAUGCCGCGUGAGUGAUGAAGGUCUUAGGAUUGUAAAAUUCUUUCACCGGGGACGAUAAUGACGGUACCCGGAGAAGAAGCCCCGGCUAACUUCGUG